UUUAAAGAGAGUUUGAUCCUGGCUCAGGACGAACGCUGGCGGCGUGCCUAAUACAUGCAAGUCGAACGAACGGAGGAAGAGCUUGCUCUUCCAAAGUUAGUGGCGGACGGGUGAGUAACACGUGGGCAACCUGCCUGUAAGUUGGGGAUAACUCCGGGAAACCGGGGCUAAUACUGAAUGAUAAA
Molecule: ribosomal RNA, 185 nt
Filed under: Listeria monocytogenes
Lineage: Bacteria; Bacillati; Bacillota; Bacilli; Caryophanales; Listeriaceae
Description: partial 16S ribosomal RNA
Rfam family: Bacterial small subunit ribosomal RNA
Source: RNAcentral